ACUAGGGAUCGUCCGCAGGAUUGGGACUGAUACAGAGGCCGCCACGGAGCCCGCCGGAGCCACCGUUCCUGCUGCUGCUGCCGCUGCCCGAAUCGGAACCGUCGGGCCGCAGCCGCCGGCAAUGCCGCGAAGGAAGAGGAAUGCAGGCAGUAGUUCAGAUGGAACCGAAGAUUCCGAUUUUUCUACAGAUCUCGAGCACACAGACAGUUCAGAAAGUGAUGGCACAUCCCGACGAUCUGCUCGAGUCACCCGCUCCUCAGCCAGGCUAAGCCAGAGUUCUCAAGAUUCCAGUCCUGUUCGAAAUCUGCAGUCUUUUGGCACUGAGGAGCCUGCUUACUCUACCAGAAGAGUGACCCGUAGUCAGCAGCAGCCUACCCCAGUGACACCGAAAAAAUACCCUCUUCGGCAGACUCGUUCAUCUGGUUCAGAAACUGAGCAAGUGGUUGAUUUUUCAGAUAGAGAAAUAUAUGGAACACAGACAGACCUAUGGGAACACACGGGAACCUCUUUUAGAAAACCUGACAAGCGAAUAUGACUUGGAUCUUUUCCGAAGAGCACAAGCCC
RNAcentral lists this small RNA (564 nucleotides) under Pan troglodytes (chimpanzee). Its description in RNAcentral is "processed transcript". The record is from RNAcentral. Lineage: Eukaryota; Metazoa; Chordata; Mammalia; Primates; Hominidae.